RNAcentral lists this ribosomal RNA (510 nucleotides) under uncultured bacterium. RNAcentral describes it as "partial 16S ribosomal RNA". It matches the Rfam family "Bacterial small subunit ribosomal RNA", at positions 28 to 507 of the family's 1533-position model. The record is from RNAcentral.
GACGAACGCUGGCGGCGUGCUUAACACAUGCAAGUCGAACGAAGAGCGAUGGAAGCUUGCUUCUAUCAAUCUUAGUGGCGAACGGGUGAGUAACGCGUAAUCAACCUGCCCUUCAGAGGGGGACAACAGUUGGAAACGACUGCUAAUACCGCAUACGAUCUAAUCUCGGCAUCGAGGAUAGAUGAAAGGUGGCCCCUACAUGUAAGCUAUCACUGAAGGAGGGGAUUGCGUCUGAUUAGCUAGUUGGAGGGGUAACGGCCCACCAAGGCGAUGAUCAGUAACCGGUCUGAGAGGAUGAACGGCCACAUUGGGACUGAGACACGGCCCAGACUCCUACGGGAGGCAGCAGUGGGGAAUCUUCCGCAAUGGACGAAAGUCUGACGGAGCAACGCCGCGUGAGUGAUGACGGCCUUCGGGUUGUAAAGCUCUGUUAAUCGGGACGAAAGGCCUUCUUGCGAAUAGUGAGAAGGAUUGACGGUACCGGAAUAGAAAGCCACGGCUAACUACGUG